This 88-nucleotide transfer RNA is filed under the name Opitutaceae bacterium. Its description in RNAcentral is "tRNA-Leu". It matches the Rfam family "tRNA". Rfam says of the family: Transfer RNA (tRNA) molecules are approximately 80 nucleotides in length. Lineage: Bacteria; Pseudomonadati; Verrucomicrobiota; Opitutia; Opitutales; Opitutaceae. The record is from RNAcentral.
GCCGAGGUGGCGGAAUUGGCAGACGCACUAGAUUCAGGGUCUAGCGCCCCUUAAAGGCGUAGGGGUUCGACUCCCCUCCUCGGCACCA